This 432-nucleotide ribosomal RNA is filed under the name uncultured bacterium. RNAcentral's name for it is "partial 16S ribosomal RNA". It matches the Rfam family "Bacterial small subunit ribosomal RNA", at positions 29 to 506 of the family's 1533-position model. The record is from RNAcentral.
AACGAACGCUGGCGGCAUGCCUAACACAUGCAAGUCGAACGAGACCUUCGGGUCUAGUGGCGCACGGGUGCGUAACGCGUGGGAACCUGCCCUUAGGUUCGGAAUAACUCCCCGAAAGGGGUGCUAAUACCGGAUAAUGUCUUCGGACCAAAGAUUUAUCGCCUUUGGAUGGGCCCGCGUUGGAUUAGCUAGUUGGUAGGGUAAAAGCCUACCAAGGCGACGAUCCAUAGCUGGUCUGAGAGGAUGAUCAGCCACACUGGGACUGAGACACGGCCCAGACUCCUACGGGAGGCAGCAGUGGGGAAGAUUGGACAAUGGGCGAAAGCCUGAUCCAGCAAUGCCGAGUGAGUGAUGAAGGCCUUAGGGUUGUAAAGCUCUUUUACCCGGGAUGAUAAUGACAGUACCGGGAGAAUAAGCUCCGGCUAACUCCGU